This 714-nucleotide ribosomal RNA is filed under the name uncultured Staphylococcus sp. RNAcentral describes it as "bacterial SSU rRNA". It matches the Rfam family "Bacterial small subunit ribosomal RNA", at positions 74 to 773 of the family's 1533-position model. Lineage: Bacteria; Bacillati; Bacillota; Bacilli; Caryophanales; Staphylococcaceae. The record is from RNAcentral.
AGAAGCUUGCUUCUCUGAUGUUAGCGGCGGACGGGUGAGUAACACGUGGAUAACCUACCUAUAAGACUGGGAUAACUUCGGGAAACCGGAGCUAAUACCGGAUAAUAUUUUGAACCGCAUGGUUCAAAAGUGAAAGACGGUCUUGCUGUCACUUAUAGAUGGAUCCACGCUGCAUUAGCUAGUUGGUAAGGUAACGGCUUACCAAGGCAACGAUGCAUAGCCGACCUGAGAGGGUGAUCGGCCACACUGGAACUGAGACACGGUCCAGACUCCUACGGGAGGCAGCAGUAGGGAAUCUUCCGCAAUGGGCGAAAGCCUGACGGAGCAACGCCGCGUGAGUGAUGAAGGUCUUCGGAUCGUAAAACUCUGUUAUUAGGGAAGAACAUAUGUGUAAGUAACUGUGCACAUCUUGACGGUACCUAAUCAGAAAGCCACGGCUAACUACGUGCCAGCAGCCGCGGUAAUACGUAGGUGGCAAGCGUUAUCCGGAAUUAUUGGGCGUAAAGCGCGCGUAGGCGGUUUUUUAAGUCUGAUGUGAAAGCCCACGGCUCAACCGUGGAGGGUCAUUGGAAACUGGAAAACUUGAGUGCAGAAGAGGAAAGUGGAAUUCCAUGUGUAGCGGUGAAAUGCGCAGAGAUAUGGAGGAACACCAGUGGCGAAGGCGACUUUCUGGUCUGUAACUGACGCUGAUGUGCGAAAGCGUGGGGAUCAAAC